AUUGGCUGCCCACCCUCUGAAAAGCGACUGAGUCCUUGAGUCUCCUGGGAUGUUCAUAUGAAUCCCCUUGAAGCUUUAAUUUGAUAAGACCUCAGUGGAGACUGCUGAACCCCUGGGAUUUAACAUCAUAUAUUAUUCAUUGUUGCUGUUGCCACAGACGUGCUGAUUUUGCCCCUGCUGAGCAAGGCACUUCUGCACAUGGGAACUUGAUGGCUAACCACACUGCAUGUUCUUCAGGCAGGGCCUAUCCCAGAACGUUCCAAGCUGUCUGCUAGCAAGUCUGCAUUAACUCCCUCAAUGCUGCAUGCACGGUGUCCCUGAGUCCUUCACCACCCGCCCCGCCACCAGAGCCAGUCUUUUUAAGAAUUUUGCCUGGGCUGUGUUUUUCAAAGUGCCUCUCUCUAGUGUGCAUCUCUUCUUAAUCACAGAAAGCAGAUCUGAGAGCUUCUAAUGCACUUCUCUAUUACUUCAAGAACACUGUGUAUAAUAAUAAACUCUACAGAAAUAAACCAAAUCACAAGAAGCUUUCAGGUCUGGAGGCUGACAUUUCUCAAGACAGAUGCAAAAACCCAGGCCCAGAGAGAUGAAGAAACCUGGCUAAGGUAACAUGUAAGUUAGUGUCAAAAUCAGGAUAAAACCCAGAUCUUCUGACUCUUAGUAUAGCUCUCUUUUUACCCAGCCACACUGCCUGUGUCCCUGGGACUGUUAGUAAAAUAACAGGUGAGCUGGACCCCCUUUUUGAGAUGACUGGGUAUGUUUACUGUCUGGGUCAGAUCAGUCAAGUACUCUGAGUCUAGGGUUGUUCCUAGAACAGAAGCUGGGGUUGAUGAGCAUUUGUGAGUAUUGGAGAAGGAGUGAGGGGGAGAAGCCUCACACGCAAACCCAGGCCCUGGUUUCAAUUUCGUGUAUGAGAUUACCUGAGAACGGAAUGCAAGUAACAGGCAAAUAAUUGACAUCUCAAACCUAACUGUGUAUGCAUCCUGAGUAGCUAAUAGUGAGCUGUUCACUACUAAUGCUGUGUGUAGGUUCAUCCCAAAGACAGGCUGAUCCACACAUAGACAGGCUGGUCCUAUGAUUAAGGAGUGUGAGCUGGCAUUCCCUUUAUCAGGACAAAGAUAGGUUCUGCUUCCUCUGGAUAGUCUUCAGGCAAAGCUUUACUUAUGGCCUUGCAAAUAACCCAUGGUCUCUUGGUCGAUGAACAAAAUAGCAGUAAAGAAGAUGAAUUCUCCUUAUUUAUCUUCAGUUUUCUCCCUGGAGUGAAAGUGAGGGUUAUUCUCUGGUAUAUUAGAAAAAUAGUACAUUAUACUACCUAAUGGGUUUCAGUCUGACUCAAAAUGAAAGGAUAACAGGAAAUGGGGUGCUGUUUUGCUGAGUAGCUGAGAUAGCCUACCUUAUUAAUUCUAAGUAUGUCUCUAUUUUCCCUUUCCAAUGCUUCUUGGUUUCUUAGCCAUUUCUAAAUCCCCUUUCCCCAUGUGCAGCAUGGUGUGGGUAGAGAUAGGAAUAAGAAGCGGCUAAUUCUUACCUUACAAGAAAAAUAACUUGGCAGUCAAGAGAAAAUUGACGGCAACAGUCUUUGCAAACAGCAUUCGUAGCCCAAGCACUGUGAGGGACAUCAUGUUCACCUUCUCGGUAUGAACUAUGGCUGAAAAAGAGUGAAGAGGGUGGCUUCAGGGAGAGAUUAAAUUCCCUUCCAGAAAUUGGGCCUGCAACACUGAUAUUAGCCUGCCCCAAGUCUGCCUAGUUCUUUCUGGCCUGCAAGUCCAGCAUGGUGCCAGAUAGCCGUCAGAGACCUUAGGCUGCUGCUGACACCCAGCCAGGCAAGCUUGGGAAACCGAUGCCGACAGCCAGGUAAGCCUUGCUGGGAGAGUCAGAGGCUCUGCAGAACCAACUGGGCUCAGCAUGGUUUGUGUUUUCUUUUGAAAUCUGAUACAUUUUGGCCCCAGUGGACAAUUACAGAGUUUGCUUUAACCCUUGAUUCUGAAGUUGGCCCUUUGAUUUGAACUAACCUUUGGGUUUAUGGCAGCUCUUUGAAGGUUGCUUUGUGUUUUCAGUUUCCUUUGGUUUUACGUGAUCUGGAACAAACAGCAGUGGUCAGGGUUACAUUGGGAAUGAAGAGGCUCACAGGAUUGUAGGCUUUUAAAACUGGAGGAGACUUUGGGUGAGUGAACUGAGGACCAGAGGAUGUGACUUGGUGAAGGUCACAUAGCUAAUUAUACAACAUGCUUCCCAUUCUAGCCUUUUUCAUUGUACCAUGAGGUCAACAUCCAGGCACACCAAUAUGCGGGAAGAACUAGGAUUCUUAGCCCCACAAUAGGCCGCAUUGCCCUUUGUUGGAAUUUAGCACUGGAUUAGAAUGCACGAGGACUUUCAAUCCCAGAGUCUAGUAUGAAGGGGACAGUGGUAGGUAAAGAGGAGAGAUGAGGAAGAAAUAAGAUGGGCUUUAUUUUAGAUUCCAUCUUAGGGAUGACAAGCAUUUCCCUCCCCUGCCAAUGGCAGGCUAUAGUUGGGCCUAAGUCUUAUUUCCAGCAUGAUGCUAUACUGAGAAUGAUUUGUCCACAGUUACAUCUCUAACUUCCCUUUCACCCAAUUCUUGUUCCCCAUAAUCUCCAGCUCCUUGAAGCUAGAAAUGGCCUACCUGUAGAAUCUGUCUUCACUUCAAAGUCAGUGGAGUGCACAGUUUUAUUGUCGUGUUGAACUGAACAUGUCACUGAAUUUGAAUCUUCAUAUUUACCAAGCUUGACAGCAUUGUACUUCCCACUGGGAGAGAUGACAAUAGCAGGAUCAAACUCUGUUAUCUUCUUGGAUGACACGAGAUUUAUUCUUAUAUCCUUGGGGUAGAAUUCCUUCACCAGACAAGCGACAUUUGUUCCAUUUUUCAUGACAAAAACGGAUGGUUUGGUAUGAGGCUGACUUCCUGCAAAUAUAAUCAACUUAUUAGGUGAGAUGAUUAUUCACAACUUUGUGGGGGUUAAACAGUGGUGAUUACCUCGAUUACCCUGGAGCCAAACACUACAAUCCAGACCUCCAUGCAUCCUGUUAGUGACCUGGGCUUAUUACCACCUCUGUGAAAGGACAGGCAAGGGGAGCAGAAAUGAAAGGCAGUAAGUUUGACUUCCAGUUAGGAGCUGCUAGGAGAUAGGGCUGGAAGCACAGAUGGAAAAUGACAACUACAAAGAAGUUUCUGGAUCAUCUGGGUUUCGAUUAUCUGUGGCUUUUUUCUUUUUCUUUCUUUUUUUUCUUUUUCUUUUUUUUUGAGAUAGAGUUUCACUCUUGUUGCCCAGGCUGGAGUGCAAUGGUGCAAUCUCGGCUCACUGCAACCUCCGCCUCCCGGGUUCAAGUGAUUCUCCUGCCUCAGCCUCCCGAGUAGCUGGGAUUACAGGCAUGCAUCACCAUGCCCAGCUAAUUUUUUUUAUUUUUAGUAGAGAUGGGGUUUCUCCAUGUUGGUCAGGCUGGUCUCGAACUCCCGACCUCAGGUGAUCCGCCCACCUUGGCCUCCCAAAGUGCUGGAAUUACAGGUGUGAACCACUGCAUCCAGCCGAUUAUCUGUGUUUUAUUAAUCAAUCCUCUGGACAAUCUAGGUCAGGCUGAAUAUCUCUCUGCACCAGUUGGUUUUUUGUAAAUGCAUGGGCCCUUGGAUGGUAGAUCAGGGCAGGUGCUCAUGCUAUGCAUUCUGUCACUUAAAGAAUCGAGGGUCUGAGAAGGACUGCAUAACUGGCUCAGAGGUUCUGAGGAUGGCAGUGUUGGGGUCCCGGAAGGGUGCCAUCCCUUCCAGAUCUGCUGGAAAGGGUGGAAAGGGAUCUGCUGAAGGUAGGUGGUACAUGUUUCUGCCUUUAGGUGAAUACUCAUUCUUCUGUAGGGGACUGACUACUGUAUAGUUUCCUUUGAGUCUUUAAUCAGAGGAUAACAAUGAUCAUUUUCAGGAAGUCCUUAAAGAAAUAAAACCAAUUGAAGCCCGUUCAUUCUUGUUUUAAUCUAAGAGGAACUGUGGAAUGUUGGUCCCAGGAUUGGCUUCCCUCCUGGCCUUCUCUUCUUUUGUGCCUCACUUUGGACUACCACCCUGUACAUGCAUACUUUUCUUUCCUUAAGACCACAAGUCUUGAAGCUUUGAGAGAGGUAGUGAUGAUUCUUUCACACAGUGCCUCACUGAAGUUUUUGAAUUGUGAUAAAUGUUGUGUCCAUGGGGACUUAAAUUCUUAGGCUAUCUUCAAAUAACUGUUAAAGAAAGAGCCCUGUUAAUACCUGAAACCAAGAAACACAACCAACCUGUGAAUGAUGAUCAAGAUACAUUUUUCAAUCCUAAAUUUAAUGCUGACUUUUAAUAUUAAUUGCUCCUGUAAAUUUGGCCCUUAGUAUUUGAAACUUAGGUGAAUUUUGCUUCUUGAUAUCAAAUGAAAAAUACAUUGAAUUCCAGUGUACUUUUACCUACUAUGGUCUAUAAUCAAGACAUUAGGUGUUGCUGAACAGAAAGUUGGUAAUGAAUGUGUAAAUGGAAAAUAAGUAAUUUUCCUUUUCCUUUUUUUUUUUUUUUUUUGAGACAGGGUCUUUUCCACCCAGGUUGGAGUGAAGUGGCCCAAUAUCAACUCAUUGCAACCUCUGCCUCCUGGCUCAGACUCUCCUCCAGCCUCAGUCUUCCGAGUAGCUGGGACCACAGGUGCACACCACCACACCUGGCUAAUUUUCUGUAUAAAAAUAAAUAAUUUUUCUAAUGCUUUAUCCUGAAUCUGAAUUUGGGCUUCAGCUGUGAGGUUCACAGCAGCAGAGCUACUGCCAGAUCAACUGGUUAUAUCUGGUUGAGAGGGGGCGAUUGCUAGUCAGGAAGUUUCUGCUGAUCACGGCUUUGUAAAUGGACCAAAGUUGAUCAUGGUUUUCCUAGAAAAUCAACUAUUCAGAGAAACCCCCCAUCACUACCAUCAUCAUUCUCCCCGUUUCCUCUGCUGAGAAGCUCAACUAAAAGACUGAUUCUGUUUCAGUCACUCAGGGCAGGAAACUUAUUCCUAAGAAUCUGGUUCCUUAUGUUUUUGGCUUUAGUUCUAGACAAUUGAAAGGAUUAGACAUUUUUCAAAGGGCUUUCUUGGAACCUGCUUUCAACCUGCUUGAGAAAACUUCCCCUGUUUGGUUUCCUUGCAUAGCUGAAGCCACUUGAUAACAGAAAGUGAUAACUCUAGCAUUAACGGUUGGAAACCACAUGCAUUGCUCACUCACCUCCCUUCAUAAGUGCAACACUUCUUGCUCACUAUCUUGACUUUGGUUUGAGACAUACUCUGGCUGACUUUCAAGGGAGUUACAAGUUACAAAAGAAACUUGUCCAUAAAAUAAACACCCUAUCUCCUUGUUUAUUUAAGAGUAUCUCUUAAUCCUGGUCUGAUUUAGUUGGAUAAUUAAGGCUUGCUAGAAUUUUAAAAGCUAAAUUCAUCAGGCAGUUGUCAAAUCAUCACUUUGGGCUGGGGAGAUUGGGUUUGAGUAAUUUGAAUAAUACAAUAUAACUGAAAAGACAGAUGUCUGAAGAAGGUCAUGCACUUAUGAUAUUGUGCUCUGACUCUGUUAGUCAGCAUUUCAGAUAGAGCAUAAUACAUUGAUUUGAUAAAACAUUUUUCUGAAUCCCUCUUUCUACAUUAAUGUUUAUAUUUUCAAAACGAUUGUUUGAAAGAAAGUGUCUUAUAGAAUCCAUUGUUUGGCAUCUUGGUAACCAAAGAAAUGGGUGUCUGACUGAAUUAAACCUUUUUAAAAACUGGAGUGCACUCAAUAUAGUUGCCAUAUGCAUCCUAGUCUAUUUUGUAUUUGACUUAAACCCAGACGUGAAGCUGUAUGAAAUUGUAGUCCAGAAUUUAGAUUAAAGAUUUAAUCGUUUAUCUUUGAAGAACUUGUAGUCUUUUUUUCUUAGUCCACAAAUAUAAUUACAUUGCAACAUGUGUUUCAAGUGUUAUUUCUUUGGAAAAUUGCUUUAUUGUCAGACUUUCUCUUUUUAUGAACACCAAUACAUUGCUAAGUUUAUGUGCUGGUAAACAAUACCAAAAAAGUGUGUACCAUUCCUGAACAGUCUUUCUUAAUUUAUAAACUUAGAAGUCACCUAUGUUUUAGAUUCUCAUAGCUAGUCCUACUGAUCCCCUAAGAAUUGCAACAACUGUAAUAAAUGUCACUCAGAAUUUCAAGACUUUCUGCCAAUAUGGGAUUUAACUUAAACCCUGAAAUAAAAGUUUGUUCUACCUAAUUACUCUGACCAUGCUAACUACCUUUCUCCAGAAUCUUCCAAGCUGUAGGACACUUGUUUUCAGUUUGCAAGGAGGCACGCAUACUAGUUAGCUUAGCCAAAGGGAUGUGCAGAGAUGAAGCAGCUUCCUGAGGAAUUGGGGCUGAAGUAUCCCUCCCACUGUCUCCCUUGCACCUGAAUGCUCCAACUCUUAGUGUAGUUCUUCUAGAUUUCUUUGUGUUUUUUGGGCUGCUCUGAAGAUUUCAGAAAUAAAUGGGAGCUAUUGUUUUAAUAUAGAGUAUAUAUAUUAAAAUAAAUAGAGUUACAGAGCUACUUAAGUGACUCAGUCUAGUGUGUUCACUCUGGCCUAUUUCACAUCUGUAAUACUCUGUCUCCUUGUUAUAAUUUCAUUUACUAGUUAUAAUUUAUAAUGCAAACUGGAUUGCAGCCCCAGUGCCAGGACUCAAAUUAUCCCAGAAAUAUAGGAAAAAGAUCAACUCACGGGGCUCCACGAAGAGUUUGAUGCCAGUUCCGAAAAACAUCUGUCGGGUGUCCCAGGAGCACAUUAUGACAGUGCCUCACAGGUAACUAGCCUGGAGCUGGCCCUGGGGCCUGAGCUGUAACAUCUGUGCCCUGCCUCCCCAGCCUCAGUUCUCAGCCUAGAGACCCCACAGCUCAGAGAACUACAAAGCUGCUCUUGAUGAGACCAAGGGGCUGAGUACACAGAGUCUCAGUUCCCUUUGAAGCUAAUAAUAGUUGAACUGCUUGAUAGAGAUGUGAGGGUGAUAUCCCCAUCCAAGAGAUACUAGGGCAGGGCUGAGACAGAGCAAGAGAAGAGGGUGGCAGGUGACAAAUAGCUGCCUUCAUGAUGGAAAAUCUAACUUCCAGUUUAUUGAGAGGGGCAUCCAAGAAGAACACAAUAGCUUGAGGGUAGGGAUGGGGCACUUAACUUGACCUUUCUUACAACAAAUGUUAGGUUGAGGAGAGGAGGGUUAUAGAAAGAGUUUCCAUUCUUAUUAUACUCUGGUUCCAUUCUCUUGGGUCACAAGUACAGAAUUUUGAUUAGAAACCUAAUUUCCCCCAUCACUCAGACUGAGUCUCACAAUAAUAACGAACCUGCUUUCUAAUUCCCUGAGCUUGGCGAAAGGCUUUCUAAGGACCUGAGGGUUGAACAAGAAAUUGGUCACUGCUCAGGGAGCCCACUGGUGCUGUGUGUCAUGGACACAGGUCAGAGAAGCCAGUGCUUGCUUUGCAUUGCUUAUUUUUGUUUUAUAAUUUCUCCUGACUCUGGAUCCAGAUAUAAGUUUCAGGAGUAUAUAGUCAUCAUGUGCAAUGUAACAUAAAGACCAUGUGAAUUACUCUGCCUCAUCACCAAAAAUCAAGAUCGUUGGGCUAGAGCCAGGCAAAAGAGAAUGACAGUUGUGUAGGGCCAUUAUUCACUGUCAAAGCUUUAAGGACUUGGGGUUUGAUUUGAAAAUUUUCACAUCCCCUACCUGAGCUUCACAUCAUCAUAUUACAUUUCACCACUGCAGGAGAAGAAAACCAGAGAAGCGAAUGGAGUGUCAUCGGGGAGCAUGGUCAGCAUCCUGGCAGAGGGGCUAAGCAUCAGUUUCAUCAAUUUCCUUCUUCCCUAAGACUCCCAAAGGCACAGCCUCAAAGAUUUGAUUCUAACACUGCAGAUAAUUCCAAAUUUCAAGUGGAAAUGAUUUUAGGGGAAAAUGAAACACAGUAGUUUUUGCUCAGAUGCAAUUUGCUAAACAUCAAUCAGACUACAAUCAGCUACGACAUGAUUCUGUUUCCCUCCUUUUCAGUGCUCUAGUCUCUCUCCCCUCAAAGAUAAGAAAACUCACCAAAUUCUACCAUUUCCCUGGAGGCAACAGGCAGUGGAGAAUCCCUAUAAGUUUAUAUUAUUCUCUGAGAGGCAGAGACCAUGUUGACAGCACCAGUCACUUUUUGGACUUUUGGUCAGAUAGCCUAGCCACAUUCAUGUACCAUUCCCUACUUAUUUAUUUCCUCUGAAUAAACAAAAUCAAUACCUAAUCAUGUAAGAGGUAAUGGCUCUCCCAAUGGACUUGGCAUUUUGGAAGGUGUCUGAAGGCUAUUCUCUGGACUGGUCUUAGUGAUUGACUGUUGGCAGCUACCCAAACUACCAGAAUAUAGCCCCUGGAUUUCCAAACAUUGGAGUAGGCUACCAGUAGACAAUGUCUCCAGUAGGGGACCACGACUUCUCUAUUGUCCUGGAGUUGGUGGCUGUGUUUCUACAUUGGAUACAGGCUCCUGAACCAUUGUGCAAAGUUCCCAGUUUCAGGGCUAACAGGAGAGGUGAGCUCAUAACUGCUCUCAGCAGACCCAGGCCAGGAUGGGACCUUGAGAACCAUUUAAUCUGAACCAUUUAUGUUGGUUUAAUGCAAGUUCAGAAAAAAGUGACAAGGGCAAGAUUGGCUUCUUAUCCAGAGAGAGAGAGAGAGAGAGAGAGAGAGAGAGGAGAGAAAGAUCCUCUUUUUAAAACUCCUUCUUUCGUAAUACUUUUUUCUUUCUAACCUUCCCUCUUCCUACACUGUGACCAUGACUUUUAUCCCUCAUAAAUACUGGAGAGACCCUCCUCAACCACAGCUUGCCUUUUUCCUGGUUCUAGGGAGCCCAAAACUAAAAGCCUGACCUAGGGCUUUUUUUCAGUAGUUGUAAAAAACUUAUGAAUACCAAGCCUCAGAAUGGAGUUUCCAAGCAUAUACAGAAUAUUUUCUUAAGAGAAAUCUAAUGCAUUUGCUCCCAAAUUUUACCCCUACUGUUUGCAACAAACAAUGGGUUUCUAAUUUGGAACUCUUUACUUCCCAAGAAGCCCCAUUCAUUCAGGACUACGCUACAACAACCCUAAAGAAAUAUACACACUGAGCUGUAGUAAAAUGCAUAACUUACCUGGUUCCACGAUGAGUUGUGUUCCCUUUCCAAAGAAGAGUUGUGCUGUCAAAGCACUACCACAGGCAUCAUUACGAAAAACCUUGCUACCUAUUUGCUCCCUGUCAGUCUAAUUCAUCUGUUUGGAAGUGGGUGGGUGGAGCAGAAUGGGUGUAGCUGGAGACAGAGCUUUGCAAGGGUUUCUGAGAUCUGAGCAUUAUAUUUUGGCAGCUUUUUUGAUGUCUGCUAUCUUCUGAGUUUUGACACUUAGGCAAGUCCUUAGAUUUUCUGCUAUUAUCUCCUCAACCUGCCAUCUCUUACUCCCAGAUCUUGCUUCAGGAUAACAUUUUCACAUAUUUUGCUGAGAAUUGCCAAAUGGCCGUUGUAGGCAGAAACGUAACAACAAGCCUCAACUAAAUCAAUCACAACAGGACUGUGCCUCAGCGAGAGGUGGAAGGACACAAUGGUUGGAGCAAGAGCCAUUGAUGCAAAAGACUUGGGGUCUAUCCAAAGGACUAUAAUAAUCACAGAUGACUAUGAUUUGUAUAAAUACUUUCCUACUUAAACAGCUGGUGUUUAUACUACUUCAACAAAGUUAUUGAAAUAAACUCUAUGAGGUGAUAUUUUUAGAUCCAUCUCACAGACAAAGGCACUGUAAAGGUGGUUAAGUGAGUGGCUGAGUUGGGCUUCACUCAAUUUCCAGUUUCCAGCCCCUGAACCAGAGUAAUAGAUGGUAGGACUGAAAGGAGCCUCAAGGCAUCAUUUUUCCAAACCUCUGUGAUCACACAAGGGCUAAUUAAGGGAUGCAUAGGGAGAGUUUUCACUCCCUUUCCAGUGCCUUUUUUUUUUUUUCCAUUAAAUCACAGAAUUCCUACUGGGUAAUAGGACAGUCACACCAUUGGGCUUCCUUGCUUUUCCUCCCAAUUGUUCAUAAGAAUUGGUCUGGGGAUAAUCAGGAUCAUAGUGGGCAAGGGCUGGAAGACAGCUUGGAAAUCCUUCAUCUAACUAUAGGGAAACUAUAGUUCAGUGCAGUUAAGUCACAGAGUUUGUCAGCUAAUGCAUUGUCAGUUAAUGCAUUGGACAGAUUGGAACUUGGCCUCUGAUUUACUGGUUCAGCGUGCUCCUCAUUUCACCUUGUGUCCACCCCCCGAAGUGCUGUCAUGUGAGUCUGAUCACAGUGGUGGCCUAGAUCUGUACAUGGUGGAUGCAUAGAUGUUGAGGAGGGUAGCUUUCUGGAGCCAGGUAGAGGGAAUAGAAACUCUCUAGGAAGGACAAUGGAUCAAGACGGCUCACUGAAGCACAGACGCCAUCCUGGAUUUUAUCGGAAACUCAGUUCCUGUUCCUCAAGCCAUCCCUUGCUAUAUUACCUACUGGAGCACUGCUUCCUAACCUGGUGACUUAGAAAAAUAUUUAACAAAUGUAAUUGCCAAACAUAGUGGUCAUAAGAAGGAAAAGUAGGUUACUUACGUUGUUGUACCUCCAGAUAGGUUCCUUUGCCAAAGAUCAGGGGUCUGGCACAGCUGACAUACCUAAUCCAAAAACUACCUUGCUUUUCCCUUUACGGCAACCCUAGCCCCAGUUGCCAAGUCACAUGAUAUUCAUCCCAUGUGAUUUUCUGUCCCAUCUGGCCUAGCCUCUUCUCCUCCGUCUUAGAGGUUGUCCUUCAGGAUGGAACAAGAGGUGACUCUAGCAUCAAAUAGAAAUCCAAGCUUUUGCCCAUAUUACAAUCUGACAGAAUUUGUGCUCAAAUAAGAGAGAAUGAAUAUAGACUGGAAAGAUGUUUUUUGGUUUGAUCAAGAGGAAAGAAGGGUGGAACGUUGGUCAUAGAGCAGUGGUUCUCCACCUUCGGGCUACACUUAGGUGAGGCAGGGACCUAGCAGGUUAUAUAUACCAUGCAUUCCAACCUUUUAGGGGAAAUUUAUUUCAUAUCUGAGAGUUUUGCAUCAUUGCCAAGUAUUGUGCAGCAGCCAAACUGCUUAGUACAAAAUAGAAUUAAGUUUUUCCAUCCAUUUUAAUAACACAUUCAUGCAUAUCAAAUUUUAGCAAGCUUCAAUGACACUCUCACACUUAGAAGUGACAGUUAAAUUAAUUUCUGUUAUACGUGAACAUCAGAAUCUAUGAGAUUGCCUGUAUGUCACUCAUAAAAACCAAGGAGGGAAUAUGGAUUUUUCGGAUCAGUUUACAAUCCUUAAAAGACUGUAGAUGAUAGUUGGAGAAUCACUAACAUGAAGGGUGGUUCCUAGUCGUUGUAAAGUAGAAGGAUGUCAGAAGAUCCAAAACCUAGUUUUGACUCUGUCCCUUUCCAAGUGUGUAAUCUUGGCCAAGUUCCUUAAACUCACUGAGCUUUAUCUGGUUUCUCUACGAAGUGAGGAUAACAUCUUCCGUAUUAUAGGUUAUAAGAUUAGAUACAGCAUCUGUGAACUAGAGAGACUCGAUGUAAUUAUUAGAAUGUUUAUUAGGGCUAAACUCAGAGAAGAUACAUUUUACUAGAAGCGUGGGGAAUGUAAUUGCACUAAGAACAGAGCUCCCAAGCAGGAAGGAUUGUUGGGACAGGUUGCUGAAAAAGAACAGAAGCUAUUUUUUGGUGUUAUGUGAUAUGAAGAGGGUGCCCACUUCUUAGGGCCGUGGGUUAGGACUGGUAUUCAGGUUUCUGUCUCUCUAGAUCUUUUCUCUAGGUUACGUGUGACUUCCAUUCUACUCCCCAAUCUUCCCUUUCGAAUCCAAAAGCAGUAGUCCUUACAGUGGCCUACAAGCCACCCUCUCCCCAACCCAUCACCAAUCUGACCUCAUUUUCACAUUCUCUCCCCAUCACUCCCUCCCCUCCUCCAGCCACACACCCCAGGCAGCCCUGUGUCCCCUCUGCCUGGAAGUGCUCUCUCUCCAGAGGUCUGCAUGCCUCACUUUACCACCUCCUCGGGUCUCUGCUCCACUGUCACCUUUCCAGUGAGACCUUCUGUGACUCUUCUGUUUAAAACUGCAUGCUGGUCCCUCCCACUAGUCCUCUUUAUUCUCCUUCCCGGCUUUAUUUUUCUUCUCAGGGCUUAUUACCACCCUAACGCACUGUAUAUAUUUUUUAUUUAUUUAUUUAGUUUACCAUCUGUCUUUUGCCAUUAGAAAAUAAGCUCCAAUAUGGCAGAAGUUCAUGCCUGCUUUGUUCAUGUCGAUUCCCUGGCACCCAGAACAGUGCCUGGCACUUCGUGGCAGAGACCUGUGAUGGGUUGCAGAGCCAGGACUCAGGCUCGGCUCUGUAGGUUACCAGCUUCCCUUCAUUUUUCUUUUCUUUUGCUUUAUACCAUAGCUGACUUUUUCUCUGAUUCAUUCAUUCCUUUAUUUAUUCAUUCACUCAUUCAACAAAUGUUUGUUUAGUGCUUUCAGUGUACUUAUAGGUGCAGUAAGAAACAACUCAAAGUCCUUUCUCUCACAGAGCAAGGGAAACAGACAGUAAACGAGCAUAUAAAGAUUCAAGUAGACAUGAGGGCUAUAAAUAAAGCAGGGAAAGGGGUCUUCAGAGUGACAUGAGGUGGUAGGGAAAGGAUUCACUGGAAAUGACAUUUGAGUGGAGACCUGGAGGAGGGGAGGGAGAAAACUGUGUGAGUCCCUGGGAGAAAAUGGCUCCAGGUGGAAGGACUUGCAGGUGCAAAGGCUCUGUUCUGGGAGAUGCUGACUGGGAGUGAGAGGGAGUGCCAGAUGCCAGGCCAAGGGCUAGUGGGCCUGGAGGAAUGGGAAGGUCAUCUUUUGGAAUCUGAGAAACAUUUUGAUGAGGCCAGAAUUAUGUGGACUCCUUUUCUUGAGGGAAAGAGUGAUGCUCUGAUCAUCGUCUGGACCUUUCUGUAUUUAGGGACCCUGGGUCUCCAGGGGUGUAAUGUGAGAGAUGGGCCUCACCUGGCUCCUCCUGGGGAAGGGGAAUGCUGCUUUGGGUAACUGGUUUUGGCGGGGGUUCAGAAGUUCUUCCUUGGUGAGAGAAGUGAUGGGGAUGGCACUGGAAGGGAAGUGGCAUAACUGUUGUUUCUGAUUCAGCUUGAAAAGGAGCUCAUUAGAGACCUGAGGCAGAGGCUGGGCCAGGCAGGAAAAACCUCCACACAUGCCCUAGUCUAGCUGCAGCCCUGAUGGAAGAGCAGACUUCUUAAGAGCACAGAUGCUGGCAUCAAGCAGGUGAUUCAAAUGAUGACUUUACUAAGCUGUGUGAUCUUGAGGAACCCCUUUAAGAUUCAGUUUCCUGAUCCAUAAAACGCAAGUCAUGGUACCUCAAUUCCACAUGAUCGUAGUGAGGACUGAGUGAAGUGAUAAUCAUUAAAGGACUUAGCCCAGUGGCCUAAUAAAUGGUAGGCACUCAAAAAGUGGUAGUUACAUAAUUGUGACAUACAAUAAUAGAUUGCAUUCAAAGUCCAUCACAUGGCCCACUUCCACGCAGAUGUUCCCAACGACCAUGCCUCUUUUCCCCACUGCCGCUGUUGUUACCAUAGAAGUACACGUUUCCAUUACUUUAUUCCAUGCUGUUUUGUCCUGUUUCUCUGUUCUGUUUUACGAAGCUAAGUGGUCUCUCCAGGUUUACUGUAUCCAGAGGACUAAAGUGUGGGAUCUACAGCUGUGGGUUUGUAUAGACCUGUUCUGUUAGUUUUGUGCUACCCAGGAGCUCCGUAAGUAAGAACUUGAAAGAAGCUCCCAAGGAAAAAAAAAGCAUCAAAAGGCUUCUGAGAAGAUAAAGGCCCUGGGUUUGCAGUGCAGUCUCUUUAAUCCAAUGUUGGUAGCUUAAAAAUAGAAGCUGCCAUUCAAAGAUAUUCUAGGUUGUGCCCCCUCUGGAUACCCCUUACUUUUUCACUUCAAAGGCUGAUGAAAUGCACCAAUAUGAAGUUCAGCACUUCCCAAACUUCAAUUAAGCACAUCUCCCCCGCUUUUUUGGUCAUAGUCAUCUGUCAUAAUUUGCUUAAUAAUUUAAAAAAAUUUAUUCACUUUUUAACUUAAAAUAUAAUUAAAAGGAAACUUGAAAUCACAUGGGUUUGAUAGCCUAGUUGUACUAUUCUGAUAGCCAUUAAAAGAUAGAUCCAUGCAAAUAAAAAGAACGUCUCUCCAUCUGAAAAUAUGUGCUGUGCACUCCGCAGUUAGGGAAAUAUGGACCAAGUAAAUGGGUAAACAGAGGAACUUAAUUCAUCCCUUACUUGGCAAACAAAGGGAAAUUAGGAUAAUCAGUCUUUAGCUUUGUUGGAAUUGUGGAUAAACUUAUUUUAGUGAAAAUUUUAAGGAUAAUAAGGUCUAAAGGCAAAGGCCCAAAUUAGUUAAAAUUUCAAAAUCUUACUAAGAUGUUGAUUUUUUAAAAAAGUCUGAACAUCUCUGCACUGACUCCACUAGCACAACUUUGGGUGUCUUUCUCCCUGACGGCAGGGCCCCUGCCCCUUUUCUCCCUGCAGUGUGUGAGGUCUUGGGUUGCUCAUGCCUGUCCUUCCCCUUCCUCAGCCUCCUUGCCUGCAUAUGCCUGGAACUGCUUUGUCCCCAUUUGGUCUCUGAGAAGAGCCCACCAUCACCACCCUAUCUCUCUAGAGCCUUCUUUUACCUUGAAAAACCUGAGCUGAGUGCCAAAGUCCCAGCCAGGGCAGGGCAUGCUGUUUCUUUUCCAACAGCUGGUUGGGCAGAUUUGGGACCACUGACCCCUAUUGCUAGACUUCCCUAGGACCUUCGAAAUGGGUUUUUGUAUUGGUUUAUUACAUUUUCUUACUUAAGAUUAAUAUGUACUAUCUAACUGGAAUCUGCUGCCAGGUGGAGACCACUGUCUUAUUUUAUUUUAUUUUUUAGCAAGACACGGUCGAAUUCAAAUGUCAUUGAAAGGACACCAAAGAUGCCUUCUGUGUUGAGCACAAUCCUUCAACAACCUUAGCAUUGAUUCUUGCAUAACUGUUAAUAAGUGACUGGCACCAUAUACUCUUUGCAAAAACGAUGAACACUGGUGAGUGGUAGGGAACUCUCCUGGCUGUGUCCUGGAGACUUCAAAGCAUUUCUUAGUUGGAAGCACUACACAUUCACUUUGUCCUGCUUGGAAUCUGGUCUCAGUGGGAACCAGAAUGUCCCAUAUUUCUCACUAGUAACCUAGUUUUCAUUUGCAGCUCAAACAAUUAGAAACAAAUGUCUGAAACAGGUUAUUUUCUUCUAAAGAGAAAUAUCGCAACACCAGGGACUACUUGCGCUCGCCCCACCCUCCAUGCCCAGGAGACGGAUUCAGUUCUGAGCUCUUCCAGGAGGAUGUGUUUGGCAUAAGGGAGGUCAGAACGUUUGGAAUCACGUUGGUAAAACCACCUGGACUCAAGUCAGCUUCAUUCUGUGUCCAUUCUGACUCUGCUCAGGGAGUUGGGCCAAUGACUCUGUGGUUUCUACAGCCUGACCCAAAUUCGAUGGACUGGGCAGAGUUCUCUGUUUCCUCUGAGCCAGAAGGGUCCCUUCAUAUGCCCCAAACUCUUUUUUUACAGACACCUUCUGCUCCUCUCCUAUGGAAAGGAUUAACCAUAUUUCACCUCUUCCCAGGAGUCCUCCUAAAUGCUAGCUAUUUCACCCAUUUCCCAUUUCAGGAUUAUUUCUGCCUCCUUAGAUGGAGGAUGCCUUAACCUUAAACUUCAGAUAAAUAAAUGAGUUACUUACUUGGUUCCACAGUCACACGGGUUCCUUUUCCAAAGAUGAGUUUAUCGGUGUCACAGCACUUGAGGACGUUCCAAAAACCUCAGCGCUGCUCCCACCUACCUUCUUCCCGUCAGCUUUAGGACUGGAGGAUCUUUAAGGCUCAGCUCCAUGAAAGAUGGCACUUGUUGCUUACCCAGCCGGUUCAUAGAUGGUUAAUCAUCUGCAGGUAGGGACAGGUUUGCUUUCGGAAGGCUGUUGUCUGAGGAGUAUGGAGGACCAUAUUUCCUAUGGCGGACCUUUCCAGCACAGUACACUUGAUGCAGUGCUCUGAACUGUUGCUUUCUAUUGUUUUACAUUGCUCUCACUUCCUAGACCCAUACUCAGCUCUCUGUGUUGGAAAGCUGGCACUGUCAAAGGGGUGGGUCUUGGCUCCAUGACUACUCCAGGGUUAAGGCCUUUACAGACACCAGUGCUGCUGCUUUAAAGGCAGAUAACGUGUGGCACAGCAAGAGGAGAAAGGGUGGCAUGAAGCACUGGGUGAUUUACAGAGCAGUCAGCUUUAGAAUGAGCAACUGUGGCCGGUGAUUGCCUACAAAAAAAUCAAUCUCUCUUCAAAUCCAUCCUCCCAAACUGCAAAGCAAAGCACUUGGGUAAAUCUCUCUAGAGGUUUGAAUUUAGAAAUUCCGUAUGAGGUGGCUCAUAUAACUCUCUUUUGCAAUAGAAUCAACAUGAAAACAAGACAAGAAUAGUUUUUAAGAAAGGCCUUUUUGUAUUCCCCAAAUGUGCUGUAAGAAAAUGUAGAAAUGCCAGUUUCACCCAAGGAAGAACAGCAGUGAGUGAGAGGUCAGCAGCUGUGGUCAUCUCCCUGGUCCAGUCAACUUCCUGCUAUCCCUUCCAGGCCCCAAAGCAGGGAGGGAAGCUGCUUGCUGUGUUUGUCUCCUGAGGCAUGGGACCCAGGGUGAGGAUAUCCCAGGGAAAUGGCACUUUUGCCCCUGCAGUUUUUGUACAGGUCUCUGUAGGUUUUGUAGCACUGUGCGUAUCCCCCAGUCACAGUGCUACAGAGCUUUACAAAAACUUCCCCUCGGUUUCACACUAUAUGGCCCCUGAGAAUCCCCAGAACCAGAUGUUUUCUCCAAGUCAAGCUCCAGCAAGAUCAAAGGGUCCUGACAGUUAGGUCAGGCCAAGCUGGCUCAGGUGCUUCUGUCUGGGGCUCUUCUGCCCCACUGGCUAGAUCUGCCUUGGGGUUUGUGACUAGAAUGGACUUUUAGAAAUAAUCACAUCCAUUCCCAUCUGUGCUU
RNAcentral lists this long non-coding RNA (16983 nucleotides) under Homo sapiens (human). Its description in RNAcentral is "non-protein coding lnc-DAD1-2:12". The record is from RNAcentral. Lineage: Eukaryota; Metazoa; Chordata; Mammalia; Primates; Hominidae.